UACGUAGGGGGCAAGCGUUGUCCGGAUUUACUGGGCGUAAAGAGCGUGUAGGCGGCCCGCUAAGUCGAACGUGAAAUCCCCGAGCUCAACUCGGGAACUGCGUCCGAUACUGGUGGGCUUGAAUCCGGGAGAGGGAUGCGGAAUUCCAGGUGUAGCGGUGAAAUGCGUAGAUAUCUGGAGGAACACCGGUGGCGAAGGCGGCAUCCUGGACCGACACUGACGCUGAUGAGCGAAAGCCAGGGGAGCAAACGGG
RNAcentral lists this ribosomal RNA (253 nucleotides) under uncultured bacterium. RNAcentral describes it as "partial 16S ribosomal RNA". It matches the Rfam family "Bacterial small subunit ribosomal RNA", at positions 524 to 776 of the family's 1533-position model. The record is from RNAcentral.